AGAGAGAGACAUGCGCGCAUAUCAAUAAGCGGAGGAAAAGAAACUAACAAGGAUUCCCUUAGUAACGGCGAGUGAAGCGGGAAGAGCUCAAAUUUGAAAUCUUCAAGGUUUUACCUUGACGAAUUGUAGUUUAAAGAAGUGUUUUCUGCUGGAGUUUUGGUAAAAGUUCUUUGGAAUAGGACAUCAUAGAGGGUGAGAAUCCCGUAUUUGACCAUUAUUUUCAGCUUUGUGAUACACUUUCAAAGAGUCGGAUUGUUUAGGAAUGCAGUCCAAAAUGGGUGGUAAAUUUCAUCUAAAGCUAAAUAUUGGCGAGAGACCGAUAGCGAACAAGUACCGUGAGGGAAAGAUGAAAAGAACUUUGAAAAGAGAGUUAAACAGUACGUGAAAUUGUCAAAAGGGAAGCGUUUGACACCAGUGUUGUUUUCUCGAAAAUCAAUUAAAAAUGGCUCGAUUUUGUAUUGCUAGAGUCCUUAAAAGCUCACUGUACAUUUUUCGUGUCUUUUUUAAUGCACUUUUCGUUUAACAAGUCAACAUCAGUUUCUUUUGUUGUAAAAGGGUCAUUGGAAGGUGGCUUUCUUUUCGGAGAAAGUGUUUAUAGCCUUUGGCCUCUGCAAUCGAAGAGACUGAGGUCUGCAGCGUAGACUCUUCGGGGUUAGAUAGCAUUUGUGCUAAGUUAUAGCUUUUUAUAGACAACUUGUUGACUAUAAUUAGUCUUGUAGCUUACUCGCUUAUGCUAUUUUACCUACGCUUAGGAUGUUGAAGAUGUAGCACAUCAU
Molecule: ribosomal RNA, 776 nt
Filed under: uncultured Neocallimastigales
Lineage: Eukaryota; Fungi; Neocallimastigomycota; Neocallimastigomycetes; Neocallimastigales
Description: partial large subunit ribosomal RNA
Rfam family: Eukaryotic large subunit ribosomal RNA
Source: RNAcentral